GGACUACAAGGGUUUCUAAUCCUGUUUGAUCCCCACACUUUCGUGCCUCAGCGUCAGUUACUCCUUAGUAAGCUGCCUUCGCUAUCGGUGUUCUGGACGAUAUCUAAGCAUUUCACCGCUACACCGUCCAUUCCGCCUACCUCAUCAGUACUCAAGCAACCCAGUAUCAAUGGCACCUCUCCAGUUAAGCUGAAGUAUUUCACCACUGACUUAAGUCGCCGCCUACGCACCCUUUAAACCCAAUAAAUCCGGACAACGCUUGCCACCUACGUAUUACCGCGGCUGCUGGCAC
RNAcentral lists this ribosomal RNA (292 nucleotides) under uncultured Bacteroidota bacterium. Its description in RNAcentral is "uncultured Bacteroidetes bacterium partial 16S ribosomal RNA". The record is from RNAcentral. Lineage: Bacteria; Pseudomonadati; Bacteroidota.